GAGGAAUAUUGGGCAAUGCCCGCAAGGGUGACCCAGCAACGCCGCGUGGAGGAUGAAUGUCGUAAGAUUGUAAACUCCUGUUAGAGGGGAAGAAUAGUACCGGUUUGACCGGGAUAUGACUGUACCCUCAGAGAAAGCCCCGGCUAACUACGUGCCAGCAGCCGCGGUAAUACCUAGGGGGCAAGCGUUGUCCGGAUUUACUGGGUGUAAAGGGCGCGCAGGCGGGAUAAAAAGUCAGUGGUGAAAUCCUACAGCUUAGCUGUAGAACUGCCUUUGAUACUUUUAUUCUUGAGUUCGGGAGAGAGAGACGGAAUUCCAGGUGUAGUGGUGAAAUACGUAGAUAUCUGGAAGAACACCAGUUGCGAAGGCGGUCUCUUGGUCCGACACUGACGCUGAGGCGCGAAAGCGUGGGGAGCAAACA
This 421-nucleotide ribosomal RNA is filed under the name uncultured bacterium. RNAcentral's name for it is "bacterial SSU rRNA". It matches the Rfam family "Bacterial small subunit ribosomal RNA", at positions 356 to 774 of the family's 1533-position model. The record is from RNAcentral.